This 1702-nucleotide ribosomal RNA is filed under the name Psalidodon anisitsi (Buenos Aires tetra). RNAcentral describes it as "16S ribosomal RNA". The stretch from base 96 to 1625 matches the Rfam family "Bacterial large subunit ribosomal RNA". Lineage: Eukaryota; Metazoa; Chordata; Actinopteri; Characiformes; Acestrorhamphidae. The record is from RNAcentral.
GCCAAACAGCUAGCUCAACCACCAAAACCCACACCACAAUAUUUAUAAGUUUUACAAAACCUAAAUUUGAAUAAUUAAACCAUUCUCCUGCCUUAGUACGGGCGACAGAAAAGGCACUAGAAGCAAUAGAACAAGUACCGCAAGGGAAAGCUGAAAGAGAAAUGAAAUAACCCAUUUAAGCCUAGAAAAGCAGAGAUUUAUACUCGUACCUUUUGCAUCAUGAUUUAGCUAGAACCUCAGAGCAAAGAGAAUUUUUAGUUCUUACCCCCGAAACCAAGUGAGCUACCCCGAGACAGCUGAUAUAUUAGAGCCAACCCGUCUCUGUGGCAAAAGAGUGGGAAGAUCUCCGGGUAGCGGUGACAGACCUAUCGAACUUGGUGAUAGCUGGUUGCCUAAGAAAUGGAUAUAAGUUCAGCCUCGUAUUCCUCCUCCCACAAGCACUAAUGCCCUAUGGAAUGAAGAAAAUAACGAGAGUUAUUCAAAGGGGGUACAGCCCCUUUGAACCAGGACACAACCUGACCAGGAGGUUAAGAGUCAUAUUCAAUAAGAUCGACCGCUUUAGUGGGCCUAGAAGCAGCCAUCCACCUAGAAAGCGUUAAAGCUCAAGCGGACUCAAAAUCUAUUAUUCUGAUAUAUUUCCUCUAAACCCCUACCAGCAUUAGGCCACUCCAUGUCCACAUGGAGGAGAUACUGCUAAAAUGAGUAACAAGAAGGUAUCCCCUUCUCCUUGCCCACGCAUAAAUUAGAUCGGACCCACCACUAAUAAUUAACGAACCCAACUAAAGAGGGAAAAGUGGUUACAAAUUAAAACCAGGAAAACCCCACACCAACCAAUCGUUAACCCUACACCGGAGGGCUUUAAGGAAAGAUUAAAAGAAAAAGAAGGAACUCGGCAAACACAAGCCUCGCCUGUUUACCAAAAACAUCGCCUCCUGCAAAAAUCAAUGUAUAGGAGGUCCUGCCUGCCCAGUGACUAAAUUAAACGGCCGCGGUAUUUUGACCGUGCAAAGGUAGCGCAAUCACUUGUUUUUUAAAUAAAGACCUGUAUGAAUGGUGAAACGAGGGCUUAACUGUCUCCUUUUUCUGAUCAGUGAAAUUGAUCUACCCGUGCAGAAGCGGGUAUAAAAAUACAAGACGAGAAGACCCUAUGGAGCUUAAGACAAAAAAUCAACUAUGUUAAAAACCCCUAUUAAGGGAACAAAACAAAACAGCAACUGAUUAGCGUCUUCGGUUGGGGCGACUACGGGGGAAAACCAAUCCCCCACGUGGAGUAGAACACAAUUCUAAAACCAUGAGGUACACCUCUAAGUCACAGAACUUCUGACCAAAUGAUCCGGCAACCAGCCGAUCAACGAACCAAGUUACCCUAGGGAUAACAGCGCAAUCCCCUCCAAGAGUCCAUAUCGACAAGGGGGUUUACGACCUCGAUGUUGGAUCAGGACAUCCUAAUGGUGCAGCCGCUAUUAAGGGUUCGUUUGUUCAACGAUUAAAGUCCUACGUGAUCUGUGUUCACACCAUAAAAAUCCUACGUGAUCUGAGUUCAGACCGGAGCAAUCCAGGUCAGUUUCUAUCUGUACUGCUAUCUCUCCUAGUACGAAAGGACCGGAGACAUGAGGCCCCUGCUACAGACACGCCCCACUUUUACUCAAUGAAGCCAACUCAAUUAAGUAAAAAAGAGCAUAAUACCCCAAAAGAUAUUUGG